Molecule: ribosomal RNA, 467 nt
Filed under: uncultured bacterium
Lineage: Bacteria
Description: partial 16S ribosomal RNA
Rfam family: Bacterial small subunit ribosomal RNA
Source: RNAcentral
GACGAACGCUGGCGGCGUGCUUAACACAUGCAAGUCGAACGGAAAGGCCUCUUUCGGGGGGUACUCGCGUGGCGCACGGGUGAGUAACACGUGAGUAACCUGCCCUUCUCUUUGAUAUAACUUCCGGACACUGUCGCUAAUCCCGGAUAGGAGCUCCUGCUGCAUGGUGGGGGUUGGAGAGUUUCGGGGGUUGGGUGUGGCCUCGCGCUUUAUCGGCUUGUUGGUGGGGUAGUGGUUUACCAAGGCCUUGCCGGGUAGACGGCCCGGGCGGGUGACCGGCCACACAGAGACUGGGGUGAGGCCCCGACUCGUACGGUACGCAGCAGUGGGGAAGAUUGAACAAGGGGUGGAGCCCUAGUGCAGCAACGCCGCGGGCCGGAGGACGGCCUUCGGGUUGGAAACCGAUUUUGCUCAUGACGAAGCUUUGUUUGACGGUAGUGGGUAAAGAAGCACCGGCUAACUACGUG